Molecule: ribosomal RNA, 245 nt
Filed under: uncultured bacterium
Lineage: Bacteria
Description: partial 16S ribosomal RNA
Rfam family: Bacterial small subunit ribosomal RNA
Source: RNAcentral
UACGAAGGGGGCUAGCGUUGCUCGGAAUUACUGGGCGUAAAGGGAGCGUAGGCGGACUGUUUAGUCAGAGGUGAAAGCCCAGGGCUCAACCUUGGAAUUGCCUUUGAUACUGGCAGUCUUGAGUACGGAAGAGGUAUGUGGAACUCCGAGUGUAGAGGUGAAAUUCGUAGAUAUUCGGAAGAACACCAGUGGCGAAGGCGACAUACUGGUCCGUUACUGACGCUGAGGCUCGAAAGCGUGGGGAG